Molecule: transfer RNA, 73 nt
Filed under: Bos taurus (domestic cattle)
Lineage: Eukaryota; Metazoa; Chordata; Mammalia; Artiodactyla; Bovidae
Also listed under: 3 other names
Rfam family: tRNA
About the family: Transfer RNA (tRNA) molecules are approximately 80 nucleotides in length.
Source: Rfam by way of RNAcentral
UCCCUGGUAGUCCAGUGGCUAAGACUCCAUGCUCCCAAUGCGAGGAGCCCAGGUUCAAUCCCUGGUCAAGGAA